This is a non-coding RNA of Lepisosteus oculatus (spotted gar), 391 nucleotides long. The record is from RefSeq and is a predicted model, not a curated record. NCBI's taxonomy places the organism in Eukaryota, Metazoa, Chordata, Actinopteri, Semionotiformes, Lepisosteidae.
UGGACACGCGAGGACUCCGGGGACAGAAGUCAUCACUUAAGGUGGACUCCUGUCGGUGGGGAGGCAAAAGCAAUUAACCGAUAUCAUGAGACCUAAUGUAAUCACUGGACAGCCAUGCGGCUGGUCUCAAGGCAUGAUGAGAACCUAAAGACCUGCAGAUGUGCACAUGUGAAGACCAACACCUGGAAGAGCCAUGAGGUCCACAGAACUGCAGAGUAGCCUGUACUGGGGCCUGCUGCCCUCACCCCAGAACCCCGAGCCCCCGCGCUCACAAACACCAGCACUGGAGUUACCAAGUUGUUUAAACUGAAUGGGCAGGUUACAAACAUGGUCCAGAUGCCAUUUCAAGCAAAUGUUCCCAACUGAAAAGGUAAAGUACAGGUUCAUAUUU